AUUGAACGCUGGCGGCAUGCCUUACACAUGCAAGUCGAACGGCAGCAUGGAAGAGCUUGCUCUUCUGAUGGCGAGUGGCGAACGGGUGAGUAAAGCAUCGGAACGUACCGUGUAGUGGGGGAUAACGUAGCGAAAGUUACGCUAAUACCGCAUACGCACUGAGGUGGAAAGCAGGGGAUCGCAAGACCUUGCGCUAUACGAGCGGCCGAUGUCAGAUUAGCUAGUUGGUAGGGUAAAGGCCUACCAAGGCGACGAUCUGUAGCGGGUCUGAGGGGAUGAUCCGCCACACUGGGACUGGGACACGGCCCAGACUCCUACGGGAGUCAGCAGUGGGGAAUUUUGGACAAUGGGCGAAAGCCUGAUCCAGCCAUGCCGCGUGAGUGAAGAAGGCCUUCGGGUUGUAAAGCUCUUUCGGCUGGGAAGAAAUCGCACAGGCUAAUACACUGUGUGGAUGACGGUACCAGCACAAGAAGCACCGGCUAACUACGUGCCAGCCGCCGCCGUAA
Molecule: ribosomal RNA, 506 nt
Filed under: uncultured bacterium
Lineage: Bacteria
Description: partial 16S ribosomal RNA
Rfam family: Bacterial small subunit ribosomal RNA
Source: RNAcentral